AGUCAACCUACCCUAUGGACGGGGAUAACCUCGGGAAACUGAGAAUAAUACCCGUUAGAACAUUAUGCCUGGAACGGAUUAUGUUUCAAAUAAUUUAUUGCCGUAGGAUGGGACUGCGGCCUAUCAGUUUGUUGGUGAGGUAAUGGCCCACCAAGACUAUUACAGGUACGGGCUCUGAGAGGAGUAGCCCGGAGAUGGGUACUGAGACACGGACCCAGGCCCUAUGGGGCGCAGCAGGCGAGAAAACUUUGCAAUGUGCGAAAGCACGACAAGGUUAAUCCGAGUGGUUUCUGCUAAAGGAACCUUUUGUCAGUCCUAGAAACACUGGUGAAUAAGGGGUGGGCAAGUUCUGGUGUCAGCCGCCGCGGUAAAACCAGCACCUCAAGUGGUCAGGAUGAUUAUUGGGCCUAAAGCAUCCGUAGCCUGCUUUGUAAGUUUUCGGUUAAAUCCAUACGCUCAACGUAUGGGCUGCCGGGAAUACUGCAAAGCUAGGGAGUGGGAGAGGUAGACGGUACUCGGUAGGAAGGGGUAAAAUCCUUUGAUCUAUUGAUGACCACCUGUGGCGAAGGCGGUCUACCAGAACACGUCCGACGGUGAGGGAUGAAAGCUGGGGGAGCAAACCGGAUUAGAUACCCGGGUAGUCCCAGCUGUAAACUAUGCAAACUCAGUGAUGCAUUGGCUUGAUGCCAAUGCAGUGCUGCAGGGAAGCCGUUAAGUUUGCCGCCUGGGAAGUACGUACGCAAGUAUGAAACUUAAAGGAAUUGGCGGGGGAGCACCACAAGGGGUGAAGCCUGCGGUUC
This 800-nucleotide ribosomal RNA is filed under the name uncultured archaeon. RNAcentral describes it as "bacterial SSU rRNA". It matches the Rfam family "Archaeal small subunit ribosomal RNA", at positions 102 to 903 of the family's 1478-position model. The record is from RNAcentral.